UGGGGAAUUUUGGACAAUGGGCGCAAGCCUGAUCCAGCCAUGCCGCGUGCGGGAAGAAGGCCUUCGGGUUGUAAACCGCUUUUGUCGGGAAGAAAUCUUCUGAGUUAAUACCUCGGGAGGAUGACGGUACCUGAAGAAUAAGCACCGGCUAACUACGUGCCAGCAGCCGCGGUAAUACGUAGGGUGCAAGCGUUAAUCGGAAUUACUGGGCGUAAAGCGUGCGCAGGCGGUUUUGUAAGACAGAGGUGAAAUCCCCGGGCUCAACCUGGGAACUGCCUUGUGCACUGCAAGGCUUGAGUGCGGCAGAGGGGGAUGGAAUUCCGCGUGUAGCAGUGAAAUGCGUAGAUAUGCGGAGGAACACCGAUGGCGAAGG
Molecule: ribosomal RNA, 373 nt
Filed under: uncultured bacterium
Lineage: Bacteria
Description: partial 16S ribosomal RNA
Rfam family: Bacterial small subunit ribosomal RNA
Source: RNAcentral